AGAGUUUGAUCCUGGCUCAGGAUGAACGCUGGCGGCGUGCUUAACACAUGCAAGUCGAACGAACCUUCGGGUUAGUGGCGGACGGGUGAGUAACGCGUGAGAAUCUGCCCUCAGGAGGGGGAUAACGACUGGAAACGGUCGCUAAUACCCCAUAUGCCGCGAGGUGAAAUGAAAUUCGCCUGAGGAUGAGCUCGCGUCUGAUUAGCUAGUUGGUGGGGUAAAGGCCUACCAAGGCGACGAUCAGUAGCUGGUCUGAGAGGAUGAUCAGCCACACUGGGACUGAGACACGGCCCAGACUCCUACGGGAGGCAGCAGUGGGGAAUUUUCCGCAAUGGGCGAAAGCCUGACGGAGCAACGCCGCGUGAGGGAUGAAGGCCUCUGGGCUGUAAACCUCUUUUUUCAAGGAAGAAGAUCUGACGGUACUUGAAGAAUAAGCCACGGCUAAUUCCGUGCCAGCAGCCGCGGUAAUACGGGAGUGGCAAGCGUUAUCCGGAAUUAUUGGGCGUAAAGCGUCCGCAGGCGGCCUUGAAAGUCUGUCGUUAAAGCGUGGAGCUUAACUCCAUUUAAGCGAUGGAAACUACAAGGCUAGAGUGUGGUAGGGGCAGAGGGAAUUCCCGGUGUAGCGGUGAAAUGCGUAGAUAUCGGGAAGAACACCAGUGGCGAAGGCGCUCUGCUGGGCCAUAACUGACGCUCAUGGACAAAAGCCAGGGGAGCGAAAGGGAUUAGAUACCCCUGUAGUCCUGGCCGUAAACGAUGAACACUAGGUGUCGGGGGAAUCGACCCCCUCGGUGUCGUAGCCAACGCGUUAAGUGUUCCGCCUGGGGAGUACGCACGCAAGUGUGAAACUCAAAGGAAUUGACGG
Molecule: ribosomal RNA, 862 nt
Filed under: uncultured Synechococcus sp.
Lineage: Bacteria; Bacillati; Cyanobacteriota; Cyanophyceae; Synechococcales; Synechococcaceae
Description: bacterial SSU rRNA
Rfam family: Bacterial small subunit ribosomal RNA
Source: RNAcentral